CGGCGUGGAUAAGACAUGCAAGUCGAACGCUACUUAUUUUGUUAGCAAUAACGAAGUAAGUGGAGUGGCGAAAGGGUGCGUAACACGUGGGAAUUUACCAAGAAGUGGGGAAUAGCUCGACGAAAGUCGAAUUAAUACCGCAUAUGAUCGAAAGAUCAAAGUCGGGGACCGCAAGGCCUGACGCUUUUUGAGAAGCCCGCGGCCCAUCAGCUAGUUGGCGAGGUAAAAGCUCACCAAGGCUAUGACGGGUAGCUGGUCUGAGAGGACGACCAGCCACACUGGAACUGAGACACGGUCCAGACACCUACGGGUGGCAGCAGUCGAGAAUUUUUCACAAUGGACGAAAGUCUGAUGGAGCGACGCCGCGUGGAGGAUGAAGGUUUUCGGAUUGUAAAAUCGUGUCACUGCAGAACAAGGGUGCAUUUAUUAAUAG
Molecule: ribosomal RNA, 433 nt
Filed under: uncultured bacterium
Lineage: Bacteria
Description: bacterial SSU rRNA
Rfam family: Bacterial small subunit ribosomal RNA
Source: RNAcentral